RNAcentral lists this ribosomal RNA (705 nucleotides) under uncultured fungus. RNAcentral's name for it is "SSU rRNA". It matches the Rfam family "Eukaryotic small subunit ribosomal RNA", at positions 853 to 1583 of the family's 1831-position model. Lineage: Eukaryota; Fungi. The record is from RNAcentral.
AGGACCGCCGUAAUGAUUAAUAGGGACAGUCGGGGGCAUCAGUAUUCAAUUGUCAGAGGUGAAAUUCUUGGAUUUAUUGAAGACUAACUACUGCGAAAGCAUUUGCCAAGGAUGUUUUCAUUAAUCAGGAACGAAAGUUAGGGGAUCGAAGACGAUCAGAUACCGUCGUAGUCUUAACCAUAAACUAUGCCGACUAGGGAUCGGACGAUGUUAUUUUUUGACUCGUUCGGCACCUUACGAGAAAUCAAAGUGCUUGGGCUCCAGGGGGAGUAUGGUCGCAAGGCUGAAACUUAAAGAAAUUGACGGAAGGGCACCACCAGGGGUGGAGCCUGCGGCUUAAUUUGACUCAACACGGGGAAACUCACCAGGUCCAGACACAAUGAGGAUUGACAGAUUGAGAGCUCUUUCUUGAUUUUGUGGGUGGUGGUGCAUGGCCGUUCUUAGUUGGUGGAGUGAUUUGUCUGCUUAAUUGCGAUAACGAACGAGAUCUUAACCUGCUAAAUAGCCCGUAUUGCUUUGGCAGUACGCCGGCUUCUUAGAGGGACUAUCGGCUCAAGCCGAUGGAAGUUUGAGGCAAUAACAGGUCUGAGAUGCCCUUAGAUGUUCUGGGCCGCACGCGCGCUACACUGACGGAGCCAGCGAGUACUCCCUUGGCCGGAAGGCCCGGGUAAUCUUGUUAAACUCCGUCGUGCUGGGGAUAGGGCA